GACGAACGCUGGCGGCGUGCCUGAUACAUGCAAGUCGAACGCUUCUUUCCUCCCGAGUGCUUGCACUCAAUUGGAAAGAGGAGUGGCGGACGGGUGAGUAACACGUGGGUAACCUACCCAUCAGAGGGGGAUAACACUUGGAAACAGGUGCUAAUACCGCAUAACAGUUUAUGCCGCAUGGCAUAAGAGUGAAAGGCGCUUUCGGGUGUCGCUGAUGGAUGGACCCGCGGUGCAUUAGCUAGUUGGUGAGGUAACGGCCCACCAAGGCGACGAUACAUAGCCGGCCUGAGAGGGUGAUCAGCCACACUGGGACUGAGACACGGCCCAG
RNAcentral lists this ribosomal RNA (328 nucleotides) under uncultured bacterium. Its description in RNAcentral is "bacterial SSU rRNA". It matches the Rfam family "Bacterial small subunit ribosomal RNA", at positions 28 to 334 of the family's 1533-position model. The record is from RNAcentral.